ACACACCUCUUCUUCCUCAUAGAUUCAUCUUCAAUCCAAACACACAUCUUCUUCCUAAUUCUUCACCACCAUCUCCACCUUUCACCACCACCACCAUCCACCUUUCACCACCAUACCCCACCCUUCACUCCGAAUUGUCGCUACCUCGUUAUUCUGGAGCCGAUUUCAAGUGAACUUAUUCUAAACGAGCUUUAAGCAAGUCUUGAUUCACGAGCUAUAUCAACAGACCUAAUUCUGAUUAUCUGAAAGCUGUAAUUUGUUAUUUGCUGAUUGUUGAAUGUGAUCUAAAUGUGCAGAGGAGAAGAGUACUAAGAAGCAUCUGCAAGCACAAACUUUGUAUUUCCAACUAAGUGAAGCCAUGGAUUUUUUAUACCAUAUCUGCACAGAAGGUUGCAAGAAGAGAGUUAACGGAGGUUGUGUUCGGUGUAAACGUAUGUGGCAGCUCUUCAAACUCCACUCCUCAAUUUGUGAUCAAUCACCCGAUACAUCAUGCAAAGUCCCCCUCUGCAGGAUAGGCAAGGGCACGGUGAAUGGUGGUGGUGAAAGAUGGAGAUGGUGGUAAAGAAUUUGGAAGAAGAUGUAUGUUUGGAUUGAAGAUGAAUCUGAAUAUGAGGAAGAAGAGGUGUGUUUGGAUUGAAGGUGGUUAUUGAUUUAAAGUUAUUUUUUUAAUAUUAAGGGUAUUUAAGUCAUUUCACACCCACUUAACUGAAAAGACUAACCUCCAUCCGUGCCAGGGACUAUCUGGGAACGAAAUUGAAAAACUUGGGGACUAUAGCUGUAAUUUUAGAAAGUUAGGGACUAAAGAUGAAAAAAGUCCAAACCACAGGGACUAUCCGGGCAUUUAACUCUAAAAAAAUUAAACAAUAAAACAAAUCAGACCUAACCCCCUUUCUCUCUCAAAACCAUCUCUGUAUAUCACCCCCUUUCUCUCUCAAAACCCACCACCACAUGCCCUUCGCUGUAACCCAAAAACACAGUGUCGAUUUGUGACUGUAAUUAUCACCACCACCGUCGCCGUCACCACCACCACCUGACCUUAAGUUAGAGAGAGAGGCUGAAAGAGAAGGAUGGUUUCGGAAUCGCCGCCACGCCGGAAGAACGCUGUGGGGUAUCAAAGAAGACAAUGUAAUUUUCCGGAAUCGCCGCCACGUCGGAAGAACGCUGUUAUUGAAAUCCUUUGUCAUGGGUUCAUACCUAUUUAAUCAUUGUGUUUACUCGAAGAAUAUAAUUAAGAGGUUGAAGUUGCUGUUAAGUUUGUUGAAUCAGGUGAGUUUCUUCUGCAGAUGAUGUUUGUGUAUCUGGUAGGUUUAUUAUAAGGGCAUUGAGUUGUAAUUUAAUGAAAAAAAAAUUGGAUGAAUUUGAUUAGGUUUGAAUCCUCAGUUUAGUGAAGAAAUUUUGGUAGGUUGUCGGGUAGAGAGAGGGGCAUUCAAAUGCUUGGGUGCUCAAAACUUGCAGCAAAUGGAAUGAAAGAACAAGGUAGCAACUAGCAAUUGAUAUUCUAGAAACAAAAAUAUGUGGGGAAGGAUUGUAAUUAGAUCUGAUAGGAUGGAAAGUUUUUUGUUUUUUGUGUUUUUAAAGUUGUUUAUUUAUUUAUAAAUAUACUUUUAAAUACAAUGACCGAAAU
Molecule: long non-coding RNA, 1624 nt
Organism: Helianthus annuus (common sunflower)
Lineage: Eukaryota; Viridiplantae; Streptophyta; Magnoliopsida; Asterales; Asteraceae
Exons: 3
Source: RefSeq, a predicted model, not a curated record